GCUGAAGGUACUACCACCAAAAUAUUUGUUUUAAAGUUGGUAAAGGAUUUGUUUCUGAGUUUCUUGAAUUUUCAGUAUCUGUGCAAGUAUGCAUGGAACUGCAGUCAACAAUAUAGUUAGUUCAUCAGUUUGCAGCUCAAGUAAUUGCUUUAGAUCAGGAGCAUGGAUGCUUGAGGAACAUCCUUUCCAUUGUUGUUUUUCUUUUUUAUAUUAUUUAAUGGAAAAUAUCAAAGGGCGUCACAAAUAGAAUACAUGGAGAAAUUUUAAAAUAUAGUUGUUGUGUGUAACAUACAAGAUUUUAUUAUGGCCAAUGAUUAUGGUGAGUCCCAUCAGACAUUUGUGAAUUGUGAAGGCAGUUCGUGCUAUUAGAGUUAUUGGGGUUCUU
RNAcentral lists this unclassified non-coding RNA (385 nucleotides) under Hevea brasiliensis (rubber tree). The record is from RNAcentral. Lineage: Eukaryota; Viridiplantae; Streptophyta; Magnoliopsida; Malpighiales; Euphorbiaceae.